This 988-nucleotide long non-coding RNA is filed under the name Musa acuminata (dwarf banana). RNAcentral's name for it is "long non-coding RNA (MACU_LNC011415)". Lineage: Eukaryota; Viridiplantae; Streptophyta; Magnoliopsida; Zingiberales; Musaceae. The record is from RNAcentral.
ACAGGGGUUCCUCAACGCCCAGCUGCUUUUCCUUACACUAAGUAAUAGGUAUAAGAUCAAAGUAAUAGGUAUAAGAGCCGAGCAACUACUAACGGACAAUUUCACUUAACCUAGAAACUCACUAACACACUUGGGUUUUGUUUGGCGAACUCAGUCAGGACAACCUCCGCUGCCCUUGCAUCUAGUUAACUUGUUUCUUGUGCCGAGUCAAACUCAUCAUUAAUUAUAUCUCGCGCAAUAAAGUUAGAUCAAAAAGAAAGGGAAGUCGGCUUGUUUACUAAGAUCUAUAUUCUAUCAAUUCCACACUUCAAUCUCGAAUCGAAUACCCUGUUCCUGUGAGAGUUAGUGUUGAAGACCUGUCCAUGGUUAGUGAGUUACCUGAGUUUGACCUAUGAGUUUGACCUAAUGGUUAGUGAGUUACCUGAGUUUAACCUAUAAGUUUGACCUAUAAGUAGUGAGGGUAUAGUUCGGUAUGGCGCCUAUAGAUAACCUGUCCUGUCCGAGAAACUAGUAGUUGCGGUAAGUAAGUGAGUGGAAGUCCUCUUGAGAGCUUUCCCGCUCCCUUAUGAUUAGUAUUAGUCUCGAUAUCCCUUACCAAGUAGUAAACAAGGAAUUUGACUAGCUUGACCUAGACCACUCCUUUGACUUGUGUCUGCUUGUCGGCUUGUCGGACAGGAAUCUCUGAGUUUUGUUAGCGCAGAGAGGAAAGGAAACCCAGAAAAGAUGGGAAUUGAGUUGACCGAGCACAAGGUAUACCUUUGUUCGGUGUCAGUGAGCUUUACCUUCCUUAUAGUACUGAAGCUGAAUAAUGGAAUGGAAUUAGUUGACUCCGGAGAGGUCGGGGAAGACAAUAAGAAUAGACAGGACCGGGACCAGGACUUAACACCGUAAGAAUAUAGAAACAAAGAAGAAACAAAGAGAUCUUUUAGUUCCAUUGACUCAGUACUGACUAAGUAGAGGAAAGCCUACUAGAUGCUAUAUUAUCCUU